AAAGGAAAUUUAAAUCCGUUAGUAUUUCAAGCCCAGUGGUCGUCGUCGUCUUCUCCAAACUCCAAUCGGUGGUCGCCGGCCGGAGCCUGCACCACCGCCACGCACGGCGGCUAUAAAUACGAGGCCCCCGCGGGCGCGAGCACGCAGGGGCGCAGAGGGGGAGAUGGAAAUGGAGGCGGAGGAUUGGGGGGAGAGCUCGUCGCCGCCACGGCCACACCCAGAGGCAGACAUGGUGAAUAAAGAGAAGGACCCCGAGGAGAUGAAGAGGAAGCUGAAGGAGCGAAUCCUGGAGCUGGAGAAGGAGGAGGUCCCCCUCCCCGACGACGCCUCCGCCUUCGUCCACCACCUGUCGCGCCUCCCCAAAAGGUAUCUCUUCGACCUCGGCGUUGACAGGGUGGACGACGUCCUCCUCCACUGGAGGAUCCUCACCCACUGCGCCCACCCACAGAAUCGCCCCGUCUUCCACGCCCGCUUCCAAAAGUCCAUUCCUCUCCCGGAUUCCGAUUUCGAUCCAUGCCAGAGGCUCAUGGAAGACCUCAGCUUGGAGAGAAGAAGAAGAAACGACACAGGAGACAACACCGGCUCCAUGUCCAUCUCCUCUAGGUACCCCAAAACUAAGCUUAUUCAUGAGAUUAUCUUCUCUUCCCUGGACAAGCCCAAGCUUCUUAGCAGGCUCACUCUACUCUUGUCUGAGGUUGGACUGAAUAUUCGUGAAGCCCAUGUUUACUCCACAACUGAUGGCUUCUGUUUGGACGUUUUUGUUGUUGAUGGCUGGGACACAGAGGAGACAGAUGAUUUGAUCAUCAAGAUUAAGGAGGCAUUGUCGCACAAAAAUGCAUCACCAUCUAAUUCAACAAAUUCUUCAGCCUCGACAAAUCAGCAGAAAAUAGCUGAGCUACAACAGCAGGUUGGAGAUUCUGAAAUUGACUGGAACUUGCUAACAACAGGGGAAAAGAUUGCUACUGGAUCUUCUGCUGACUUGUAUCGAGGAACUUACAAUGGUCUUGAUGUUGCUGUAAAGAUUCUCAGAGAUUCUCAUUUCAACAAUCCGUCAGAAGUUGAGUUCUUACAGGAAAUACUUAUUCUAAGGAGUGUUAAUCAUGAAAAUGUUCUUCAAUUUUAUGGGGCAUGCACAAGGCCUCAAAAGUAUUGCAUUGUAACAGAAUACAUGCCUGGAGGGAAUUUAUAUGACUUUCUUCACAAGCAAAAUAAUGUUUUGGACCUCCUUACGAUUUUAAGGAUUGCUAUCAGUAUUUCAAAGGGGAUGAAUUAUCUGCAUCAGAAUAACAUCAUUCAUAGAGAUCUGAAGACUGCAAACCUGCUCAUGGGCUAUCAUCAAGUUGUGAAGAUCGCAGACUUUGGUGUGGCUCGACAAGGAAAUCAAGAGGGACAAAUGACUGCUGAAACUGGAACCUAUAGAUGGAUGGCACCCGAGAUCAUUAACCAUAAGCCUUAUGAUAACAAAGCAGAUGUGUUCAGCUUUGCUAUUGUUCUGUGGGAGCUGGUAACUUUGAAGGUUUGGCCCUGGUCCCAUACGAUAACAUGACGCCCUUGCAGGCUGCACUAGGAGUAAGGCAGGGAUUUCGCUUGGAGAUUCCCUCAAGUGUGAACCCGAGAUUGUCAAAACUGAUUCAGCGGUGUUGGGACGAAGAUCCUGAUGUCCGGCCUGUUUUUGCAGAGAUUGUCAUCGAACUUGAAGACAUCUUACAGCAUGCCCAGGCAAACAGCAGGGGAGCCAGUCGGCGUUCUAGAGCUAAGAUACAGAAGAAAUCACCUCGAUAGAGUAUCAUACCAAAGGUUAUCUUGCUCUUUUGUUUUCAUUCUUUUUGGUAAAACAGGCUAACUUGUAGCUGCUUUCUUAGCAACUCCACAGAAUGUGUAAUUUCUUUAGGUCUCCUUCAAAUGAAGGUAUAUAUGCGUAUAUAUAUGUACUUGCCGAUUUGACGGCAGUAACAGAAUGACUGCGAAUUCACUGUUGGUGUCAUCUGUGGACUGAUUAGAAGAUGACCAUUGUUUGCUUCCCAUCCUCGAUGGCAAAGCCGACCUUAGAACACUUGUACAGCUGUAGUUGUUGCACCUAAGUACUAGUACUUCGUAUUAUAGUGGCCUUCGCUGCUCCUGUACAUGUAUUUUACUGCAUUCUUUAGUUAUUCACUUCAGAAUC
Molecule: RNA transcript, 2164 nt
Organism: Oryza sativa Japonica Group (Japanese rice)
Lineage: Eukaryota; Viridiplantae; Streptophyta; Magnoliopsida; Poales; Poaceae
Gene name: serine/threonine-protein kinase STY17
Source: RefSeq, a predicted model, not a curated record